This 210-nucleotide ribosomal RNA is filed under the name uncultured bacterium. RNAcentral's name for it is "partial 16S ribosomal RNA". It matches the Rfam family "Bacterial small subunit ribosomal RNA", at positions 524 to 730 of the family's 1533-position model. The record is from RNAcentral.
UACGGAGGGUGCGAGCGUUUGUCCGGAAUCAUUGGGGCGUAAAGGGCGCGUAGGUGGCCCGGUCAGUUCGUGGUGAAAGCGCGGGGCUCAACCCUGCGUCGGCCAUGAAUACUGCCGCGGCUGGAGCACUGUAGAGGCAGGCGGAAUUCCGGGUGUAGCGGUGGAAUGCGUAGAGAUCCGGAAGAACACCGGUGGCGAAGGCGGCCUGCU